CAGUCGAGGGGUAUAGGUUUUCGGACCUAGAGACCGGCGCACGGGUGCGUAACGCGUAUGCAAUCUACCUUUUACAGAGGGAUAGCCCAGAGAAAUUUGGAUUAAUACCUCAUAGUAUUAUUGAAUGGCAUCAUUUAAUAAUUAAAGUCACAACGGUAAAAGAUGAGCAUGCGUCCCAUUAGCUUGUUGGUAAGGUAACGGCUUACCAAGGCAACGAUGGGUAGGGGUCCUGAGAGGGAGAUCCCCCACACUGGUACUGAGACACGGACCAGACUCCUACGGGAGGCAGCAGUGAGGAAUAUUGGUCAAUGGGCGCAAGCCUGAACCAGCCAUGCCGCGUGCAGGAUGAAGCAUCUAUGGUGUGUAAACUGCUUUUGUACGAGAAGAAACACUCCUUCGUGAAGGAGCUUGACGGUAUCGUAAGAAUAAGGACCGGCUAACUCCGUGCCAGCAGCCGCGGUAAUACGGAGGGUCCAAGCGUUAUCCGGAAUCAUUGGGUUUAAAGGGUCCGUAGGCGGUUUUGUAAGUCAGUGGUGAAAGCCCAUCGCUCAACGGUGGAACGGCCAUUGAUACUGCAAGACUUGAAUUAUUAGGAAGUAACUAGAAUAUGUAGUGUAGCGGUGAAAUGCUUAGAUAUUACAUGGAAUACCAAUUGCGAAGGCAGGUUACUACUAAUGGAUUGACGCUGAUGGACGAAAGCGUGGGGAGCGAACAGGAUUAGAUACCCUGGUAGUCCACGCCGUAAACGAUGGAUA
RNAcentral lists this ribosomal RNA (755 nucleotides) under uncultured bacterium. RNAcentral's name for it is "bacterial SSU rRNA". It matches the Rfam family "Bacterial small subunit ribosomal RNA", at positions 59 to 815 of the family's 1533-position model. The record is from RNAcentral.